CUGGCGGCGUGCUUACACAUGCAAGUCGAGUGCGCGCCUGUAGCAAUACAGGUGGCGCACGGCGCACGGGUGCGUAACACGUGGGCAACCUGCCCUUUGAUGGGGAAUAACCCCGCGAAAGCGGGGCUAAUACCGCAUAAGAUCCGCAAGGAUGAAAGCCGAAAGGCGUCGAAGGAGGGGCCUGCGCCCGAUUAGCUAGUUGGUAGGGUAACGGCCUACCAAGGCGAUGAUCGGUAGCUGGUCUGAGAGGAUGGCCAGCCACACUGGAACUGAGACACGGUCCAGACUCCUACGGGAGGCAGCAGUGGGGAAUCUUGCACAAUGGGCGAAAGCCUGAUGCAGCGACGCCGCGUGGGGGAUGAAGCAUCUCGGUGUGUAAACCCCUUUCGACCCGGACGAAUACCUCGCAAGAGGGGUGACGGUACGGGUAUAAGAAGCCCCGGCUAACUACGUGCCAGCAGCCGCGGUAAGACGUAGGGGGCCAGCGUUGUUCGGAAUUACUGGGUGUAAAGGGUUCGUAGGCGGUGCGGCAAGUUGGGAGUGAAAUCUCUGGGCUCAACCCAGAGGCUGCUUCCAAAACUGCUGUGCU
Molecule: ribosomal RNA, 589 nt
Filed under: uncultured bacterium
Lineage: Bacteria
Description: bacterial SSU rRNA
Rfam family: Bacterial small subunit ribosomal RNA
Source: RNAcentral